Molecule: ribosomal RNA, 626 nt
Filed under: uncultured Fusobacterium sp.
Lineage: Bacteria; Fusobacteriati; Fusobacteriota; Fusobacteriia; Fusobacteriales; Fusobacteriaceae
Description: bacterial SSU rRNA
Rfam family: Bacterial small subunit ribosomal RNA
Source: RNAcentral
GAUAAACGCUGACAGAAUGCUUAACACAUGCAAGUCUACUUGAAUUUGGGUUUUUAACUUAGAUUUGGGUGGCGGACGGGUGAGUAACGCGUAAAGAACUUGCCUCACAGCUAGGGACAACAUUUAGAAAUGAAUGCUAAUACCUAAUAUUAUGAUAAUAGGGCAUCCUAUAAUUAUGAAAGCUAUAAGCGCUGUGAGAGAGCUUUGCGUCCCAUUAGCUAGUUGGAGAGGUAACGGCUCACCAAGGCGAUGAUGGGUAGCCGGCCUGAGAGGGUGAUCGGCCACAAGGGGACUGAGACACGGCCCUUACUCCUACGGGAGGCAGCAGUGGGGAAUAUUGGACAAUGGACCGAGAGUCUGAUCCAGCAAUUCUGUGUGCACGAUGAAGUUUUUCGGAAUGUAAAGUGCUUUCAGUUGGGAAGAAAGAAAUGACGGUGCCAACAGAAGAAGUGACGGCUAAAUACGUGCCAGCAGCCGCGGUAAUACGUAUGUCACGAGCGUUAUCCGGAUUUAUUGGGGCGUAAAGCGCGUCUAGGUGGUUAUAAAGUCUGAUGUGAAAAUGCAGGGCUCAACUCUGUAUUGCGUUGGAAACUGUAUAACUAGAGUACUGGAGAGGUAAGCGGAAC